GUUUUGGGUUUUGCACUUUUGCUCACUGGCGCGUCCAUCAGCAUAUCUCUCUCUCGCUCUUUCUUUCAUUCGCUUUCUUUGCCUUUUCGAAAGUUAAUGGUUUUGUUCGUUUGAUUUUGCUUUACAAUAGGAGAAUCCAAUUACUCAGGCGUUCUUCGACCGGUAUAAAACAGCCAACUUUUCCACAAAGAAAGACGUAUUGAUAAUUUUGGAGGUGAAGUGACUGAAUUGACUGAAGAUUACAUGCUAUGUGGGAUGGAGACUAGAAUCAUCACCCGAGAAUAAAUUUUUACUGCUUUAUGAUAACUUUUGAAUAGUGAAAGCAGCAAAGGAUAUUGAAUUGCUUAUGGCAUAUGAGUUUCCUUCGUUUUUAAAGAUAAAUUUCUUCUAUCUUUGAGUUUCUCUGUUAAUGUAGGUUUUGUAUUCCCUGCAUAAAUACAUUUCUGCAUUGUUGAUCAAUAUCUGCCUGUGAGUUGAGAAAAAUGUUUUCCCUGCAAACAAUUACUAUGCCAAAAUCCUUUUCACCUCUUUGUUCCAUAAAUGCUGAGCCUAAUUGGUUUUUCUUUUCUUCAAUUUAUCCUCAAAUUCCUGCUUGUAAUCUUGCUUUAAGUACUUAUAGUCAUUUGAAAUAUGGGUUGCCCUCUUUGACACCCUGUGGACACAGUAUAAAACUUUUUCCUUGCUUUGCUGCUUCAAUGAAUCCUGAUUCAGAGCCUGACCCUCAAACUAACUCCAAGCCAAAAGCAAAACAUAAAACAAGAACUCGUCGUCUGAAAGCUGUAGAUGCUCAAAAUGAAGAUGAAAAACCUGGAAAAAUCUUCCCAACAACCAUUCCACGCAAGCAAAGGCGUGGUCGUAGGAGUGAAGCUGUUGCAGUUGAAGAUUUUGUACGUAAAUCACUUGAGCAAACAUUUUCAUCAAUCCGACAACAGAAUCCAAAACUUUUAGAGAACUAUGAAAAUAUAAUGAAGGAUAAAGUUAAUGAUGAGGAUUCUGAAAUCAGUGAUGAUGAAGAUGAAGAUGAUGAUGACAGUGAUGAAUAUGAAGAUACACAUGAAGUUGGUAGAGGAAAAGGAAAGAAAAAGAAAAUGGUGGUUAAGGAGGAAGACCCAAAUUGGCCAUUGGAUGCUGAUGUGGGCUGGGGAAUUAGAGCAUCAGAGUAUUUUGAGAAGCACCCAAUUAAAAAUGUUGUGGGAGAAGAUGGAUUGAAAAUUGACUGGGAAGGGGAGACAGAUGAUACCUGGGUGAAAGAGAUUAAUUGUCUUGAGUGGGAGAGCUUUGCUUUUCAUCCUAGCCCACUAAUUGUUCUUGUUUUUGAGAGAUAUAACAGGGCAACUGUUAACUGGAACACUUUGAAAGAGCUAGAGAAGGCAGCCAAAGUGUAUUGGAGUGCAAAGGAUCGACUGCCUCCUCGGACGGUGAAGAUAGACAUCAAUAUUGAAAGAGAUUUGGCAUAUGCUCUUAAAGUUAAAGAAUGCCCUCAACUUUUAUUUUUACGAGGAAACAGGAUCAUUUAUAGGGAGAGAGAGUUCCGAACUGCGGAUGAGUUGGUCCAGAUGAUUGCACAUUUCUACUACAAUGCUAAGAAGCCUUCUUGCGUUCAAUGAUGCAGCCCUAUGUUCCCCUUAUUAAUUUUUCAGAUUGUUGUGAAGAGAUGGCAAAACUAACCUCCUACCUUUUCCUUGUCCUCCUCCUCAUUGCAGCAGCUGAAGAUGGACUGUGUCAGGGAGGAGAGCCUUUCGAGUGUAUAAUUAGCUGGGAUUGCCAAGAUAACGAAAGUUGCAAGAAGGAAUGCAGCACCAAGUACCCCCGAGGUCGGGGAUUCUGCUCCGGUGACCCUAAAGUCUGUUUAUGCGCCUAUGCCUGCCCUCCUCCUCCUCCUCCUCAUUGAUUUGUAUAUGUAAGAGAGUGGAAUGCAAAAAAAUUGUAAUGCUUCGAAUAAAUGUUAAAGAAAACUUAUAAUAACAUAUUGCAAAAUUUAUGUUGGUGCGACCUGUAUUCA
Non-coding RNA from Jatropha curcas, 2002 nucleotides. NCBI's taxonomy places the organism in Eukaryota, Viridiplantae, Streptophyta, Magnoliopsida, Malpighiales, Euphorbiaceae. The record is from RefSeq and is a predicted model, not a curated record.